ACGGGUAGGGUACGGGUGUAUCCAUCUCAAACGGAUAGGGGAUGGAUAUACCCAUUUGUGAGGAGGGUACAGGAGGGUAUUACUGUGGUUAUCCAUCCUUCCCCGUUACCCAAACUAUUCGCUACGAAGGAUCCCGGCCGCGGGCCGCCGCCGCCGCAGCGGGCGACCUCGUGAAGCUUCUCCUAUGAGGCUGGCACCGUCGUCCGAUCCUCAAUCACCACCGGCGAGCAAGUUCAAGGAGCAGGCCGCCAAGCAGCAGCAGUAGCUAAAUGGAACCUCAUGAGAUUGUUGGAAGCUCGGAUGGCACAGAAGAGAGGGAAAACAGCUCAAUUAACUUAUGCUCUGAAGGUGUCAGCCUCAAUUGAUCCUAGAGUUGUCGAAGAUAGCAUACCUGCUAAUGAAUCAUCUGUACCAACUCCAAAUGAAGAAGAUCAAACUAAUGAUGAUUAAGGACUAGAACUAAGAUGUUAGGAAAUGACACUGCCAUUCAGUUUCGACAGGCAAAUGGCACCAGGGAGUGGCGAUGGAAGUCGGCAGGGAAGGCAACUGCAAUCAACACUUCAGUAGUCAUCUUGUAUCCGGCAGCGAUCGUCAAAUAAUGGCGUUGAUUAGCGCCUAAGCUCGUGGCGCAUGAUAACAUUGUCAAAUUUUUUUUAAUUUUUCGUGUAACCCCAGCUGUAGAGAUACAAAUCGAGUCUAUUGUUAUCGAUCCACACGUAGUGCAUGUCGAGAGGAUUCUCUUUUAAAUAUUAUUUAUUAUCUCAGAUUAUUGUAUCAUAAGCAUCAAGCAACAAUCGCUCUGCAGGCUCACUGCUUUAGCGCUGUACGUAACGGACCAGGCUUUAUUGUUAUUCAUAUUCUGUGUUA
Molecule: long non-coding RNA, 867 nt
Organism: Panicum virgatum (switchgrass)
Lineage: Eukaryota; Viridiplantae; Streptophyta; Magnoliopsida; Poales; Poaceae
Exons: 5
Source: RefSeq, a predicted model, not a curated record